GAUCAUGGCUCAGAGCGAACGUUUGCGGCGGGCUUAACACAUGCAAGUCGAACGAGAAUCCCGUUCGGGAGGAAAGUGGCGCACGGGUGCGUAACACGUGGAUAACCAACCCAUUGGUUGGGACAACACCGGGAAACUGGUGCUAAUACCAGAUGUGUCGCAGCUGUCUUCAGGCGGUUGCGAGAAAGGCCCGCAAGGGUCGCCAACGGACGGGUCCGCGUCCCAUCAGCUAGUUGGUGAGGUAAUGGCUCACCAAGGCAAAGACGGGUAGCUGGUCUGAGAGGAUGAUCAGCCACACUGGAACUGAGACACGGUCCAGACUCCUACGGGAGGCAGCAGUGGGGAAUAUUGCGCAAUGGGCGAAAGCCUGACGCAGCCACGCCGCGUGAGCGAUGAAGGUCUUCGGAUCGUAAAGCUCUGUGGGGGGAGAAGAAGAAAGCCGGUGAAGAGCCGGCCCUGACGGUAUCCCCUUAGCAAGCACCGGCUAACUCCGUG
RNAcentral lists this ribosomal RNA (495 nucleotides) under uncultured bacterium. RNAcentral's name for it is "bacterial SSU rRNA". It matches the Rfam family "Bacterial small subunit ribosomal RNA", at positions 15 to 507 of the family's 1533-position model. The record is from RNAcentral.